AGCCCCAACUGUACCUCUUGGGCAGCAAGGAUCAUUUCCCUUCACCAAGCCUGUGUGUGGGACACAGGCUGGACCUCGUGUGAGCAGUGGGACUCUGCCAGACGCUUCCCAAGCCUCAUCCCUCCCUCGUUUGCAACUCGUUUCUGUACCCCUGUUGUUCUGCUCUCUCCUCCAUCGUGCAACAGCUGCUCCUUGCUGACACGGUGCAGACCCUGCAAAGCACUCAGUCCUCACUCCCCUUGUCCUCCCCAGCGUCACCUACCACCUUGGCUACUGCAGGGAGGAAUUGAUCGGUCAGUCGUGGUACAGCCUCCUGCACCCCGAGGACACUGACCUAGCGGCUGCCCAGCACAGGGCCGUGGCGCUCGGGACCGGGGCCGGACCCGCAGCAGGGUCGGCAGUUCUGCGUGUGCUGCGCAGAGACCGCACCUGGGCCUGGCUUCGCGUAUCGGCGCAGCGGGAGGACGGAAGCCACGCCAUCACCUGCACCAGCCGCUACCUCAGGGAGGAAGAAGCGGCCUACCUACGCGCCCGGCAGUACAACCCCCCGCCCCGUACCACGCCGCAGCCGCCGGCGGGAGGGGAGCUCAGCCUGCUAGCCGCACAGCUCCGCGCCCUGGCCGACAGCCUCUCGCCGCCCACCGCCGCCGCUCCGGUUUGGCCCUGGCCCCAGGCCGAGGCCGAGGCCGAGGCCGCGGCCUGCCCACCGGGCCCACCGGACGCCGCCUGGGCCCGUCUCCUUGGCAACGCGCCGGAGGGGGCGGGACCCACCGCCGCGCACGCGCACUACGCCCCCUGCCCGCUCCAAUAAACGCC
This 816-nucleotide long non-coding RNA is filed under the name Aquila chrysaetos chrysaetos. Its description in RNAcentral is "lncRNA (ENSACCG00020014487.1)". The record is from RNAcentral. Lineage: Eukaryota; Metazoa; Chordata; Aves; Accipitriformes; Accipitridae.